Molecule: transfer RNA, 76 nt
Filed under: Mycoplasmopsis synoviae
Lineage: Bacteria; Bacillati; Mycoplasmatota; Mycoplasmoidales; Metamycoplasmataceae
Also listed under: 3 other names
Description: Mycoplasma synoviae tRNA-Ile
Rfam family: tRNA
About the family: Transfer RNA (tRNA) molecules are approximately 80 nucleotides in length.
Source: RNAcentral
GGAUCUAUAGCUCAACGGUUAGAGCAACCGGCUCAUAACCGGUUGGCUACAGGUUCGAAUCCUGUUAGAUCCACCA